ACUUGGAUAUGGAUUCUUCACGGUAACGUAACUGAAAGAGGAGACGUCGGCGUGAGCCCUGGGAGGAGUUAUCUNUUCUUCUUAACAGCUUAUCNCCCUGGAAUUGGUUUAUCNGGANAUAGGGUNUUAUGGCUGGAAGAGCGCAACACUUCUGUUGCGUCCGGUGCGCUCANNNCGGCNCUUGAAAAUCCUCUGGAAGGAAUAGUUUUCAUGCCAAGUNGUAC
This 224-nucleotide ribosomal RNA is filed under the name Petasospora fabianii. Its description in RNAcentral is "Cyberlindnera fabianii partial 26S ribosomal RNA". It matches the Rfam family "Eukaryotic large subunit ribosomal RNA", at positions 1623 to 1847 of the family's 3401-position model. Lineage: Eukaryota; Fungi; Ascomycota; Saccharomycetes; Phaffomycetales; Wickerhamomycetaceae. The record is from RNAcentral.